RNAcentral lists this non-coding RNA (31 nucleotides) under Homo sapiens (human). Lineage: Eukaryota; Metazoa; Chordata; Mammalia; Primates; Hominidae. The record is from RNAcentral.
UCUAUGAGUGCCAUCUGGAACAAGUUCCAAG